GCCAGGUGCAGUGGUGUGCACCUGUAAUCCCAGCUACUCGGGAGGCUGAGGCAGAAGAAUCACUUGAACCCAGGAGAUGGAGGUUGCAGUGAGCCGAGAUCAUGCUACUGCACUCCACCCUGGGCAACAGAGCGAGACUCUGUCUCAA
RNAcentral lists this non-coding RNA (148 nucleotides) under Nomascus leucogenys (northern white-cheeked gibbon). Lineage: Eukaryota; Metazoa; Chordata; Mammalia; Primates; Hylobatidae. The record is from Rfam by way of RNAcentral.